Molecule: transfer RNA, 84 nt
Filed under: Myxococcales bacterium
Lineage: Bacteria; Pseudomonadati; Myxococcota; Myxococcia; Myxococcales
Description: tRNA-Leu
Rfam family: tRNA
About the family: Transfer RNA (tRNA) molecules are approximately 80 nucleotides in length. Their secondary structure includes four short double-helical elements and three loops (D, anti-codon, and T loops). Further hydrogen bonds mediate the characteristic L-shaped molecular structure. tRNAs have two regions of fundamental functional importance: the anti-codon, which is responsible for specific mRNA codon recognition, and the 3' end, to which the tRNAs corresponding amino acid is attached (by aminoacyl-tRNA synthetases). tRNAs cope with the degeneracy of the genetic code in two manners: having more than one tRNA (with a specific anti-codon) for a particular amino acid; and 'wobble' base-pairing, i.e. permitting non-standard base-pairing at the 3rd anti-codon position.
Source: RNAcentral
GCGGAAGUGGCGGAAUUGGUAGACGCGCAGGAUUCAGGUUUCUGUGGGCGAAAGUCCGUGAAGGUUCGAGUCCUUUCUUCCGCA